GUGGGGAAUAUUGGACAAUGGGCGAAAGCCUGAUCCAGCCAUGCCGCGUGUGUGAAGAAGGUCUUCGGAUUGUAAAGCACUUUAAGUUGGGAGGAAGGGCAGUAAGUUAAUACCUUGCUGUUUUGACGUUACCGACAGAAUAAGCACCGGCUAACUCUGUGCCAGCAGCCGCGGUAAUACGAAGGGUGCAAGCGUUAAUCGGAAUUACUGGGCGUAAAGCGCGCGUAGGUGGUUUUGUAAGUUGGAGGUGAAAUCCCCGGGCUCAACCUGGGAACUGCCUCCAAAACUGCAUGACUAGAGUACGGUAGAGGGUAGUGGAAUUUCCUGUGUAGCGGUGAAAUGCGUAGAUAUAGGAAGGAACACCAGUGGCGAAGGCGACUACCUGGACUGAUACUGACACUGAGGUGCGAAAGCGUGGGGAGCAAACAGGAUUAGAUACCCGUGUAGUCC
This 450-nucleotide ribosomal RNA is filed under the name uncultured bacterium. RNAcentral's name for it is "partial 16S ribosomal RNA". It matches the Rfam family "Bacterial small subunit ribosomal RNA", at positions 354 to 796 of the family's 1533-position model. The record is from RNAcentral.